Molecule: ribosomal RNA, 510 nt
Filed under: uncultured bacterium
Lineage: Bacteria
Description: partial 16S ribosomal RNA
Rfam family: Bacterial small subunit ribosomal RNA
Source: RNAcentral
GACGAACGCUGGCGGCGUGCUUAACACAUGCAAGUCGAACGAAGAGCGAUGGAAGCUUGCUUCUAUCAAUCUUAGUGGCGAACGGGUGAGUAACGCGUAAUCAACCUGCCCUUCAGAGGGGGACAACAGUUGGAAACGACUGCUAAUACCGCAUACGAUCUGACCUCGGCAUCGAGGAUAGAUGAAAGGUGGCCUCUACAUGUAAGCUAUCACUGAAGGAGGGGAUUGCGUCUGAUUAGCUAGUUGGAGGGGUAACGGCCCACCAAGGCGAUGAUCAGUAGCCGGUCUGAGAGGAUGAACGGCCACAUUGGGACUGAGACACGGCCCAGACUCCUACGGGAGGCAGCAGUGGGGAAUCUUCCGCAAUAGACGAAAGUCUGACGGAGCAACGCCGCGUGAGUGAUGACGGCCUUCGGGUUGUAAAGCUCCGUUAAUCGGGACGAAAGGCCUUUUUGCGAAUAGUGAGAAGGAUUGACGGUACCGGAAUAGAAAGCCACGGCUAACUACGUG